This 497-nucleotide ribosomal RNA is filed under the name uncultured bacterium. RNAcentral's name for it is "partial 16S ribosomal RNA". It matches the Rfam family "Bacterial small subunit ribosomal RNA", at positions 28 to 507 of the family's 1533-position model. The record is from RNAcentral.
GACGAACGCUGGCGGCGUGCCUAAUACAUGCAAGUUGAGCGCUGAAGGUUGGUACUUGUACCAACUGGAUGAGCAGCGAACGGGUGAGUAACGCGUGGGGAAUCUGCCUUUGAGCGGGGGACAACAUUUGGAAACGAAUGCUAAUACCGCAUAAAAACUUUAAACACAAGUUUUAAGUUUGAAAGAUGCAAUUGCAUCACUCAAAGAUGAUCCCGCGUUGUAUUAGCUAGUUGGUGAGGUAAAGGCUCACCAAGGCGAUGAUACAUAGCCGACCCGAGAGGGUGAUCGGCCACAUUGGGACUGAGACACGGCCCAAACUCCUACGGGAGGCAGCAGUAGGGAAUCUUCGGCAAUGGACGAAGGUCUGACCGAGCAACGCCGCGUGAGUGAAGAAGGUUUUCGGAUCGUAAAACUCUGUUGGUAGAGAAGAACGUUGGUGAGAGUGGAAAGCUCAUCAAGUGACGGUAACUACCCAGAAAGGGACGGCUAACUACGUG